Sinocyclocheilus rhinocerous is the source of this 259-nucleotide long non-coding RNA. RefSeq lists it as uncharacterized. The transcript has 3 exons. Lineage: Eukaryota; Metazoa; Chordata; Actinopteri; Cypriniformes; Cyprinidae. The record is from RefSeq and is a predicted model, not a curated record.
CACCCUUGUGUCAGUUAAUAGCAAGAAGUAAAAUUCCGGAGCUCAGCAGAUCCUUCAAAAAUAUCUUCUCUCCACAAAGAACAUAACAGCACAUGCAUUUGGAAGAACAUGACGAUCCAUUGGCUGGGAUCUCUAUGGUGGAAUUCUGCUGGGACCCCCUUCUAACCUCCCCACAACCCUCCCCUUGAGUUCACCCACCCACCCAUUAGGAAUUCCAGCAGGGCAUUGUGGGUGGGAUGAAUGGGGUCAGAGCCAAGGA